CACCCCACUAUAUUGUUCGCCAGAGUACUACAAGCGCUAGCUUAAAACCCAAAGGACUUGGCGGUAUCCCAUACCCACCUAGAGGAGCCUGUUCUAUAACCGAUAAUCCCCGUUCAACCUCACCACUUCUUGCCAUUACCGUCUAUAUACCGCCGUCGUCAGCCCACCCUGUGAAGGACUAAAAGUAAGCAAAAAGAAUAAAACUCCAAAACGUCAGGUCGAGGUGUAGCAAAUGAAGUGGGAAGAAAUGGGCUACAUUUUUUUCCAAAAAUAUACGAAUGGUAAACUGAAAACACACCUAAAGGUGGAUUUAGCAGUAAGAGGAGAUCAGAAUACUCCCCUGAAAUCGGCUCUGGGAUAAGCACACACCGCCCGUCACUCUCCUCAAAAAUAACUUACCCUUUUCCAUAAAUACAUUUCUUCAACAAGAGGAGGCAAGUCGUAACAUGGUAAGUGUACUGGAAAGUGCACUUGGAAUC
RNAcentral lists this ribosomal RNA (479 nucleotides) under Carcharhinus falciformis (silky shark). RNAcentral's name for it is "partial 12S ribosomal RNA". It matches the Rfam family "Bacterial small subunit ribosomal RNA", at positions 853 to 1522 of the family's 1533-position model. Lineage: Eukaryota; Metazoa; Chordata; Chondrichthyes; Carcharhiniformes; Carcharhinidae. The record is from RNAcentral.